RNAcentral lists this ribosomal RNA (370 nucleotides) under uncultured bacterium. RNAcentral's name for it is "bacterial SSU rRNA". It matches the Rfam family "Bacterial small subunit ribosomal RNA", at positions 108 to 507 of the family's 1533-position model. The record is from RNAcentral.
GAGUAANAUUUGGGAAACUAACCUGAUAGAGGGGGACAACAGUUGGAAACGACUGCUAAUACCGCAUAAAGCCUAAGGGUGAAAGCAGCAAUGCGCUAUCAGAUGCGGCCCAAACGGGAUUAGCUAGUAGGUGAGGUAAAGGCUCACCUAGGCGACGAUCUCUAGCUGGUCUGAGAGGAUGAUCAGCCACAUUGGGACUGAGACACGGCCCAGACUCCUACGGGAGGCAGCAGUAGGGAAUAUUGCACAAUGGAGGAAACUCUGAUGCAGCCAUGCCGCGUGUGUGAAGAAGGCCUUCGGGUUGUAAAGCGCUUUCGGAGGGGAGGAACAAAUGACGUUACCCUCAGAAGAAGCACCGGCUAACUCCGUG